Molecule: ribosomal RNA, 818 nt
Filed under: uncultured bacterium
Lineage: Bacteria
Description: bacterial SSU rRNA
Rfam family: Bacterial small subunit ribosomal RNA
Source: RNAcentral
AGUCGGACGGGAUUGAGGAGCUUGCUUCUCAUGAGAGUGGCGCACGGGUGCGUAACACGUAUGUAACCUACCUUGUUCAGGGGGAUAGCCUCUCGAAAGAGAGAUUAACACCGCAUAAAAUCAAUUUAUGGCAUCAUAGAAUGAUCAAAUAUUUAUAGGAACAAGAUGGGCAUGCGGAACAUUAGCUAGUUGGUAAGGUAACGGCUUACCAAGGCUACGAUGUUUAGGGGAUCUGAGAGGAUGACCCCCCACACUGGUACUGAGACACGGACCAGACUCCUACGGGAGGCAGCAGUAAGGAAUAUUGGUCAAUGGACGCAAGUCUGAACCAGCCAUGCCGCGUGCAGGAAGACGGCCCUACGGGUUGUAAACUGCUUUUGUACCGGAAUAAACCUUUUCACGUGUGAGAAGCUGAAUGUACGGUAAGAAUAAGGAUCGGCUAACUCCGUGCCAGCAGCCGCGGUAAUACGGAGGAUCCAAGCGUUAUCCGGAUUUAUUGGGUUUAAAGGGUGCGUAGGUGGCCUAUUAAGUCAGGGGUGAAAGACGGUAGCUUAACUAUCGCAGUGCCUUUGAUACUGAUGGGCUUGAAUACACUUGAGGUAGGCGGAAUGUGACAAGUAGCGGUGAAAUGCAUAGAUAUGUCACAGAACACCAAUUGCGAAGGCAGCUUACUAAAGUGUUAUUGACACUGAGGCACGAAAGCGUGGGGAUCAAACAGGAUUAGAUACCCUGGUAGUCCACGCCCUAAACGAUGAAUACUCGAUGUUGGCGAUAUACGGUCAGCGUCUAAGCGAAAGCGUUAAGUAUUCCACCUGGGG